RNAcentral lists this ribosomal RNA (253 nucleotides) under uncultured bacterium. RNAcentral's name for it is "partial 16S ribosomal RNA". It matches the Rfam family "Bacterial small subunit ribosomal RNA", at positions 524 to 776 of the family's 1533-position model. The record is from RNAcentral.
UACGGAGGGUGCAAGCGUUAUCCGGAUUCACUGGGUUUAAAGGGUGCGUAGGUGGGCAAGUAAGUCAGUGGUGAAAUCUCCGGGCUUAACACGGAAACUGCCAUUGAUACUAUUUGUCUUGAAUACUGUGGAGGUCAGCGGAAUAUGUCAUGUAGCGGUGAAAUGCAUAGAUAUGACACAGAACACCGAUUGCGAAGGCAGCUGACGAAACUGUAACUGACGCUGAGGCUCGAAAGCGUGGGGAUCAAACAGG